AGACUGGUUGAACGGUGGCGUUGAGCGGAAACGUCGAUGCGCUCCUGUGGAACGAAGGCACUUUGAUGGCGAGUGUCUCGUCGGGAUCUUGGUCAAUCUUCUUCAGAUAGGAGGACGUGGUGCAUUGAAGUUCAAAAGAACUGCGCUGGGAGGUUGCUUUGUGAGAGCGGUGGUGAACGCCAGGUGGUUUGCAGGGCGAGCGGGUGCGGACGUAACCGAACCGCGUUCCCGUUGGUGGCGAAAGGUUCCCGGCUUACGAUCAGGCUGCACAGCGCCCGCAGAACUCGAGCUUAAUUGGCAAACCUGGUGCACAGGGACCCGUUGCGGAUAGUUUUCGUAGCAGUCAGACGUCGGGCGCCUCAUUAUAUUGAACAAGCCCCACAAUGAGCGUGUUCGGUUAAACUGGGGCACUGAACGGCUCGCUCUAUUCCUAGCUCGAGAUUUUUCCGUACCCUUUCUAAGAUUUAUAGUAUCACCAUUCGAAGUGCAGGAGUAUGGGCUUGCGGUUGCAUACGCAGUUUUGGGGUUCUCGGUCUGUAGGUCGGAGGGGCUCCUUCGAAUCUCUCUGCCGCUGGAACUCGGCAUGUCACCGGAACCAAGAUGAUGAUUCGCGACAUCGUCGAUCGAAGAAUCCGAAAACGCAAUCGACAUGAUCAUCCAAUUCAUAGGUGCAGGCUUCAACGCUUACCGUUUCCAUACGUGAAGCAAGCUCAAGUCACACAUUCUUCAAGGUUUCUGAAAUUCUGUUUCAAGGCAACACAUGGGCGCAGCAAUUCGAGUCUCUGUACUAGCGACAUGUAAUCAUAAUCGACGUCGUCUUUCGAGGAGUUUUGCACGCGCUUGAGCUGAACACCAACUGACCACUUUACGUCAAAUGAUUGAUUCCGUUGGAAAGACAAGUGCCUCUCGCUUUGUGUCAUCGGCGAAAAGGCAUUCGACAGCAGCUUGAAACCUCUCACGGGAUAUGGUACCAGAGGCCUCCGUGUCUUGCGUUUGGAUCGGAAAGGCGUAUUGGCUUGGACUUGAGUCAUCAUAGCUCUCGCUUCCAGUGCAGCGUGCGUCGCCUUUUAGCACGAAGCGAGCCUAAACGAAUCGGCAUUUCUCGCGUUCUUCUCAUGCCGAGAAUUGGCUUCCGGUAUUUGUGUCAUCGUGGACAACAUCGCGUUUCACCAAACUGUCAUCGAAUGGAACAGCGUGUACUUGCGCGUACAGCGGACAGCAUACGCACCGAGGGCAUCUCCCAGAAGAAGUCCAUGAUCGUCGGGCAGGGCGCCGGGCGCGGAAACAUAGGACUACAUAUAGGAGAGCCUUGUAUACCAAUCAAGACGGUGUACCGAGAAGUGAAGCAGGCGCUCACCCGCCACAUGUUGGCACUCGGAGGUGUGAUGGACAUUUCGGAACACCCGACAACACCCAUGUAUCACCGAUGCGAAGCAUGCACUCAGGCUGUAUACCAACAGGAUGCAAAAAGUGAGAGGGGCGUAGAUCUAUUCUUUCGCCUGUGCUUGGAAAUCUUAGAAAAUGACAGGAAGCUGCGAAAUCGGGACUUGAACGCUGCCAUCAACUUACUUCGACUGCUGGUGACCGAGCUGGAUGGGCAUGAGAGAGCGGUGCCUUUAAAGCCGAGGGCGUGAUCGAGGAAAAAUGAGAUCAAUUGCAGAAAAAACCCUUAGAGUCUGGUGGUGAUCAUGCUGUAGAGAAACCAAAACUUUAGCGUCUGCGCUUGUGUUGGCUGAAUGAACCUGAUGAACUGUAACAAGACAGGGGUGUAGCGUGAAACGAAACGAAGUGGUUUAUGUGAUAGUCGUUCCCGUUCCAAACCCUGUUGACGCUAACAAGUCUCUUCGUGCAACUAUAGCCUUUAGUGCGCGUAAACGCGGAAGCAAAC
RNA transcript from Cyanidioschyzon merolae strain 10D, 1888 nucleotides. RefSeq lists it as hypothetical. The transcript has a single exon. The record is from RefSeq and is a predicted model, not a curated record. NCBI's taxonomy places the organism in Eukaryota, Rhodophyta, Bangiophyceae, Cyanidiales, Cyanidiaceae.